RNAcentral lists this ribosomal RNA (923 nucleotides) under uncultured bacterium. RNAcentral's name for it is "bacterial SSU rRNA". It matches the Rfam family "Bacterial small subunit ribosomal RNA", at positions 28 to 896 of the family's 1533-position model. The record is from RNAcentral.
AACGAACGCUGGCGGCGUGGUUUAGGCAUGCAAGUCGAACGGUUCCCCUGUUUUCUUGUUUUCGCAAGAAAACAAGAAAACAGGGGAAUAGUGGCAAAAGGGUGAGUAACGCGUGGGUAAUUUACCCUCAAAUUAGGGAUAACUCGCCGAAAGGCGAGCUAAUACCAAAUAAGACCACAUUUACCUCGGUGGAUGUGGUAAAAGGUAACAUAUCUUGACUUAGUGUUGGGAGUUGCCGUUUGGGGAUAAGCCUGCGUCCUAUCAGCUUGUUGGUAAGGUAAUGGCUUACCAAGGCGUUUGACGGGUAGCUGGUCUAAGAGGAUGGUCAGCCACACUGGGACUGAGACACUGCCCAGACUCCUACGGGAGGCUGCAGUCGAGAAUCUUUCGCAAUGCCCGCAAGGGUGACGAAGCGACGCCGCGUGAGCGAUGAAGGCCUUCGGGUUGUAAAGCUCUGUUAGGUCGGAUGAAACCCCCCCGAUGUAACGUCGGGGGGGUUGACGGUACGAUCAGAGGAAGCCACGGCUAACUCCGUGCCAGCAGCCGCGGUAAUACGGAGGUGGCAAGCGUUGUUCGGAUUUAUUGGGUGUAAAGGGUAUGUAGGUGUCCUAUCAAGUUUCUGGUGAAAUCCUUAGGCUCAACCUGAGAACUGCCAGAAAAACUGGCGGGAUUGAGUAUGGGAGAGGAGAGUGGAAUUCCCGGUGUAAGGGUGAAAUCUGUAGAUAUCGGGAGGAACACCAGUAGCGAAGGCGACUCUCUGGCCCAAAACUGACACUGAAAUACGAAAGCUAGGGGAGCAAACAGGAUUAGAUACCCUGGUAGUCCUAGCUGUAAACGAUGGGCACUAGGUGUAUGUCUAUAUUAGAUGUGCGCCGUAGCUAACGUGUUAAGUGCCCCACCUGGGGAGUACGACCGCAAGGUUA